This is a long non-coding RNA of Stomoxys calcitrans (stable fly), 261 nucleotides long. RefSeq lists it as uncharacterized. The transcript has 3 exons. The record is from RefSeq and is a predicted model, not a curated record. Lineage: Eukaryota; Metazoa; Arthropoda; Insecta; Diptera; Muscidae.
UAAGCCGUAACUAAAAAAUGUCUUCCGUUAAAAUCAACAUUUUAUGCAAAUUUAAGACCACCGCCAACAGGCCUGAUGACAUCGUGGGAAUUAAUUUGGCUUGACGAACAAAGCAAUAGAAUUAAACAUUGCAAUAAUAUGUCAAAGCUGGAGAACUUUCGUCUGUAAAGGAAGAGAGAGGACUAAAAAAACUACCAUCCACACAGUAUUUCUAUUUCAAUUAAUUCAUUUUCAAUAAAUGUGUCUUGAAUUUGAUUCGAA